Molecule: ribosomal RNA, 35 nt
Filed under: Beauveria bassiana
Lineage: Eukaryota; Fungi; Ascomycota; Sordariomycetes; Hypocreales; Cordycipitaceae
Description: partial 28S ribosomal RNA
Source: RNAcentral
GUUGACCUCGAAUCAGGUAGGACUACCCGCUGAAC